AUAUCAAUAAGCGGAGGAAAAGAAACCAACAGGGAUUACCUCAGUAACGGCGAGUGAAGCGGUAACAGCUCAAAUUUGAAAUCUGGGUCUUUCAGGCUCCGAGUUGUAAUUUGUAGAAGAUGCUUCGGGUGUGGCUCCGGUCUAAGUUCCUUGGAACAGGACGUCAUAGAGGGUGAGAAUCCCGUAUGUGAUCCGGGUUUGCC
RNAcentral lists this ribosomal RNA (203 nucleotides) under uncultured Helotiaceae. Its description in RNAcentral is "partial large subunit ribosomal RNA". It matches the Rfam family "Eukaryotic large subunit ribosomal RNA", at positions 40 to 240 of the family's 3401-position model. Lineage: Eukaryota; Fungi; Ascomycota; Leotiomycetes; Helotiales; Helotiaceae. The record is from RNAcentral.